Molecule: non-coding RNA, 79 nt
Organism: Zea mays
Lineage: Eukaryota; Viridiplantae; Streptophyta; Magnoliopsida; Poales; Poaceae
Source: Rfam
AGCGAAAUGAGGAGACUGAAACAUCUGAAUGUUUUUAUGUGGUGAAAACACGUGUAGUCUUCAAAGUUCUCUGAUUUCU